This 2335-nucleotide long non-coding RNA is filed under the name Homo sapiens (human). Its description in RNAcentral is "non-protein coding lnc-CSMD1-18:1". Lineage: Eukaryota; Metazoa; Chordata; Mammalia; Primates; Hominidae. The record is from RNAcentral.
AAGGCAGUAAGUGUACUGCAGUCCUCGCCAAGUCAACACAAACUGUCUUCUCUCCAUGGAUAGGGUGUGGAGAAGAGUGCAGUUGCUGAAUCGGCAGCUGUGCUGAUCUGUUCUGGUAAAGACGCUAUUUGUCACAGCGGCUGUGACUGGAGAGACUACCUGGUCACGCUGCAGGACCCCACCGCCACCUUCCAUCACAGCCUGGUGUCUGCAGUGCCCAGUUCCAUGAAUUACAUGGGAAUUGGCGGGCACUGGAAUUUCACCAUCCUUUGAGCCUCUGACAGUGGCUCUGAUCUCUGCGAUUCCUCCAGGAAGGCAGGAUGGAUUUACUAAUUUGGUAGGAAUGGGGAGGGGUGUUCAGAGCCUUCCAACUGAUGGUCCCUAAUUCAGUGGCUCUGACUUCACAGGUUAAGGAACCAGUGAUGGUUUCUACAGCCCAAGGUGCCGCUCUGCUUGUCUGCUCAGCGGCGACUCAGAGCCUGGACAGUUUCCAAGGUCUGCUCUUUCCCGUUACCACUGCAGUCUUCCCAGCACACGCAUGCAGGUCCCUUUGGGGAAGCAUCGACCAAAGGGACCUGCAGCCUACGUGUGGGGUCCUUCCUCAGGUGAACCUGACUCCCCCUUCAGUCAGUGAGCUCCGAGCCUGUGAGCUGACUCAGGUGUGGGACUUGGACCAUGACCUGCAGGUUUUUGUUCAUUGCUGAGCAAUGCCUCUUGGUGCCUUCCUGUCUCCGUUCGGGCUGCUGUGAUGAAACACCAAGCCUGGCCACGCCCCAGAGGACAGGGGCCCCAUCAGGAGGUGAGAUCGUGAUGCCAGCCAGGCUCCUUGUUGAUCAAGUUACCGAGGGUCUACCCAGCAGAUGGGGGCCCGGAAGCUGGGGGAGACGCAGCCAUUUGGCCCUGGGCUCCCAAGUGUCCUGCUGUCACUGGGUUAAUCCCUGUCCAGGAAGAGCCCAGGGCUCUGCAGAGGAGAGGGGGAAUAAACCAGCAGUGGCAACCCCAAAGGGAGGCUUUUUCUCUCUUGUCCCAUCCUCAGGGCCUAAGACAGAGCUUGGCCUCACCUCUGACACUCAUCAGGUGCUCAGUAGAAGCUUGUUGCUUAGAGAACGCACUUGCCUGUCUGCACGGCUUCAUUUGUUGGUGAUAUGCUUGUUUUCCUCAUUCACUGUGAAAGCAGAACCCGCGUCCUGGCAUAGCGGGAGUUCUUUGUAGCCCACGUUCUCCAACCUCUUCCUCCCUCAAAGCCCUCCCGCGUCUGCCUCUCUCAGGAUCUCUGGAAGUCUCUCUUCUCUAGGAGGGCAGAGGGAGUUAAGGAGUCAGUUACACAGACCCCACUCUGUCCAUGUCCCGCACCAUCAAUCGUGUGGAAAGAUUUCUGUCCCAGCAAGUUAACUUUACACAUCCAUUUCAUCUCUCCAUGUAAGGUGUUGGCCCUGGUCUGGUAAAACACCCACAAUAGGAACAUUUUACAGGAAACUCAUUCUACUCAUAACUCAAAAUGGAAUGGCCAAGUGUAGGCUGGGCAUGACUGUGAAGUCAGAACCACUGAAUUAGGAACAUCAAUUGGAAGCCUCUGAACCCCCCUCCCCUUUUCUACCAAAUUAGUAAAUCCAUCCUGCCUUCCUGGAAGAAUCGCAGAGAUCAGAGCCGCCAUCAGAGGCUUGAAGGGUGGCAAAAUUCUGCCAACCAACUCCUGGCUCACACUAGGAAACUUAGCACUUUGGGAGGCUCAGACACGAGGACUGCUUGAGGUCAGGAGUUUGACACUAGCCUGGACAACAUAGCGAGACCCCAUCUCUACAAAAUGUUAAAAAGAAAAAAAGAGUUAGGUGUGGUUGUGUGCAUCUGUAGUCCCAGCUACUCAGGAGACUGAGGUGGGAGAACUGCUUGAACCUGGGAGGUUGAGACUGCAGUGACUGUGGGAGCCCAGGGGGUUAUGGUGAGCCAUGAUCACGCCCCUGCACUGCAACCUGUGCGACAGAGGGAGACUUUGUCUCUUCAAACAAAUAAAGAACAAGUACAUGAGUUGCUUGAAAGAUUCCCAGUGCCUACUUCCAAUUCAGAGCGCGGUGCUCCACGCAGUUGGGUGCGUUGCUGGGAUUCAGACACGGAGUCUCCCCAAAGCAGCAAGUGGUGAUGCAGCUAGGAACGGGCAGGCCAAGCCCCCCACCCAGCCCCCCGAGGUUGAUGUCCCUUUCCACUUGACACAGAAAAGAGGCAACUCAUCCUACUGCAUUUUAAAAUAAAAAUACUUUAUUGAUGAAGUCAGACAGCAGCUAACAGUUUGAGAAGCUUGGGAAGAAAUCACUUUCACAUGGGGGAUAUAUGCAACCUA